Molecule: ribosomal RNA, 35 nt
Filed under: Copaifera mildbraedii
Lineage: Eukaryota; Viridiplantae; Streptophyta; Magnoliopsida; Fabales; Fabaceae
Description: partial 18S ribosomal RNA
Source: RNAcentral
UUCGUAGGUGAACCUGCGGAAGGAUCAUUGCCGUC